Molecule: long non-coding RNA, 1248 nt
Organism: Sarcophilus harrisii (Tasmanian devil)
Lineage: Eukaryota; Metazoa; Chordata; Mammalia; Dasyuromorphia; Dasyuridae
Exons: 4
Source: RefSeq, a predicted model, not a curated record
CAUUCUAUUGAAAAUACUGUGUGGAUAAGAAUCAUGAAAUAGCAUGGCCCCUUAAAAAUGAACUAAAAUAAUUCACUUGGCAAUGAGAAGACUGGAGGUGUUUCUCAGUGAGCUUUACUACAGCCUGUCUCCUGUGUUGUGCAUCUCUCAAGUAGUUUAAUAAAGAAUUAUCAUCAGAAAGCAUGCAUUAAAUGAGUUGAAUAUCUCGGUCCUAACUGUGGAAUAUUAAUGCAAGAAGAAGUAAGCAGAAGAUGGUGAUCCACUAUUAUCUGGCUCUUAUUUACUAGCUACCAAGAGAUUCAAAUGGCGCCCUCUUGGUUAUAGUUUCUGUUCUACCAUGGUGUACCUCUUUCCUCCUCAGAGUCUCCAGGAUCCAAAGAAUCUAUGUAUAAAGUAAACAAAUUUAGGAUGCAGGUUACUUAUAUUGCUACAAAUCAAUUAACAAAGAUUGCCUACAUUUUAACAAUUAACUCCUAAGCGGUGCCCUUUAAGUAACAACUAUUCUUGUGUUUUUACACCUCUCUGCUCCCUGUCUGGAAUGCCUUCCUUCAUUUUCACUGUCUAUUGAGAUUCUACUCAAUUCACCAGACUCAGUUUGAUUUUCCUUCUCCUGAAAGCCUUCCCUGACUCUCUUAACCUAAUGUGAGCUAUCCUUUCUGUAUGAAUUUAGGGCUAGCAACACUCAUCUGAAAAUUCAUCUUAUAUUAUUACAACAUUUAUUCUAUUACUUUCUUGAAAUGCUAUUUAAAUAUUAUGUUUUUAUUUAACUUUUUACCUGUUUACAUGUCAUCUCCCCAUCAACUGGACCCAGAUGAUCUUGGAGGGGAAAGUAAGACAGGGAAAUAGAGAAGAUGAGUUGCACAAUGUCUGGAAAACACUUUGAAUUCCUCAGAAUGAAGGCUUAUAAAUAUAGGCUAUGAUUAUCAUCAUAAUCAUCAUUAUCAUUAUUAUUACUUCUAUUAAAUGUAUCCAUCUGAUUUUAGGGAGCUUUCAUUAAACACCAAUAGAAAGAAGGUGAUCACCCUUUGGAAUCCAACUAUUUGUUAGUAAGCUAGAAGACUACUCAAAUAAACAAUGUACAGAGUAGCCUACCCUCUCUGAAAAUAUUUCUCCAAUGACCUAUGGAGGAAAAGGGAUGGUGGGGAGGGACUACAAUGCUUUACUGUCCGUGGCAACACAUCUGGCCUGCUUGGUAUAUUGUAGUCUCUCAAGAACCAUAGAAAGAUCAGCAACCCUUCAGCACUUUGA